AUUUUUAUUUUCGAACGCUGGCGGCGUGCUUACACAUGCAAGUCGAACGAUGAUGCCCAGCUUGCUGGGUGGAUUAGUGGCGAACGGGUGAGUAACACGUGAGUAACCUGCCCCUGACUCUGGGAUAAGCGUUGGAAACGACGUCUAAUACUGGAUAUGAUCACUGGCCGCAUGGUCUGGUGGUGGAAAGAUUUUUUGGUUGGGGAUGGACUCGCGGCCUAUCAGCUUGUUGGUGAGGUAAUGGCUCACCAAGGCGACGACGGGUAGCCGGCCUGAGAGGGUGACCGGCCACACUGGGACUGAGACACGGCCCAGACUCCUACGGGAGGCAGCAGUGGGGAAUAUUGCACAAUGGGCGAAAGCCUGAUGCAGCAACGCCGCGUGAGGGAUGACGGCCUUCGGGUUGUAAACCUCUUUUAGUAGGGAAGAAGCGAAAGUGACGGUACCUGCAGAAAAAGCACCGGCUAACUACGUGCCAGCAGCCGCGGUAAUACGUAGGGUGCAAGCGUUGUCCGGAAUUAUUGGGCGUAAAGAGCUCGUAGGCGGUUUGUCGCGUCUGCUGUGAAAUCCCGAGGCUCAACCUCGGGCUUGCAGUGGGUACGGGCAGACUAGAGUGCGGUAGGGGAGAUUGGAAUUCCUGGUGUAGCGGUGGAAUGCGCAGAUAUCAGGAGGAACACCGAUGGCGAAGGCAGAUCUCUGGGCCGUAACUGACGCUGAGGAGCGAAAGCAUGGGGAGCGAACAGGAUUAGAUACCCUGGUAGUCCAUGCCGUAAACGUUGGGCGCUAGAUGUAGGGACCUUUCCACGGUUUCUGUGUCGUAGCUAACGCAUUAAGCGCCCCGCCUGGGGAGUACGGCCGCAAGGCUAAAACUCAAAGGAAUUGACGGGGGCCCGCACAAGCGGCGGAGCAUGCGGAUUAAUUCGAUGCAACGCGAAGAACCUUACCAAGGCUUGACAUACACCGGAAACGGCCAGAGAUGGUCGCCCCCUUGUGGUCGGUGUACAGGUGGUGCAUGGUUGUCGUCAGCUCGUGUCGUGAGAUGUUGGGUUAAGUCCCGCAACGAGCGCAACCCUCGUUCUAUGUUGCCAGCGGGUUAUGCCGGGGACUCAUAGGAGACUGCCGGGGUCAACUCGGAGGAAGGUGGGGAUGACGUCAAAUCAUCAUGCCCCUUAUGUCUUGGGCUUCACGCAUGCUACAAUGGCCGGUACAAAGGGCUGCGAUACCGUAAGGUGGAGCGAAUCCCAAAAAGCCGGUCUCAGUUCGGAUUGAGGUCUGCAACUCGACCUCAUGAAGUCGGAGUCGCUAGUAAUCGCAGAUCAGCAACGCUGCGGUGAAUACGUUCCCGGGCCUUGUACACACCGCCCGUCAAGUCAUGAAAGUCGGUAACACCCGAAGCCGGUGGCCUAACCCUUGUGGAAGCAGCCGUCGAAGGUGGAUCGUUAUUAGACUGG
This 1451-nucleotide ribosomal RNA is filed under the name Curtobacterium sp. Y6. RNAcentral describes it as "bacterial SSU rRNA". It matches the Rfam family "Bacterial small subunit ribosomal RNA". Lineage: Bacteria; Bacillati; Actinomycetota; Actinomycetes; Micrococcales; Microbacteriaceae. The record is from RNAcentral.